AUCAGAGACCUUUAUCAUCGGUUGGGAAUGGGAAGUCAGUUUCUUGCACAUUUUUGGCUCCCAAUGUCUUCCAUUGCUUGUUAACACCAACCACGCCACUUUGUUGUCGUCGGCGAGCGUGCACGCUGCAGAAGGAAUACGGGACAGCUGCCAUUCCUGGAGGCUGGAGGGUUCAUUGGACAGGACACCUGCACAGCCGUAUUGCUGGCGGCUACGGUAAAGGUGUCCACCCUACUUUGUGAAUUCAAGACCAUGUCAGGACCUGCAUCAUCCGAGUCUGAUUCAGAACACUCAGGAUCUCCUGUAUCUUCAAGUUUAGGUAGUAGGGCCAUGCUGAUUUCAUCAGAGUCUGAUGAUGACCGUCCUGUCUGCAAGAAGAAGUGCACCUCAGACAUAUCUUCUUGCAGACCUCGCACGUCAUCACGACAGACAGAAAGGGCUCACGGGAUGCUACACUGAGCCUUAUUGCUGAAAGUCUUCCGAGUAGUUUUGAAACACAACACAAGAUGGAGGAGGAUGUGAGUGUGAUCGAUCUUCUCAGGGUCUUGCUGCAGGAGGUGCGAGAUGUGAAGCAGGAGGUGAGAGUUGAAGAGCAAGCUCGAGAACUCAUCUGAAUGUACAGAGUCGAUUAUUGAAAACCCUUUUGAUGAACUGAAGUCUUUUGGCUUUAAAGCUACAUCACUGGAAGAAAGAACGAGAACAUGAUUUGCUAUUUCAUGUCCUGUGCCACUUGACUGAACAUCUGAUGUUGAUAACAGCAGAUUAUUGGGUGAAGUAGCAUGAUUUUGUAUCAUACUGCUUGAUAAACAUAGUGGUGGUGGUUCUUAAUAAGGCAUUAUUAUUAUAGUUUUGUUUAAGGAAGCGAUAUAGCACACCUAUCUUUUGAGCAUUCAGGUAAUUUCAGUUUUGGGCAGAUUGCUUUGACAUUUUCAGUGCUGAAAAGAUAGACCUGCAUACACGCUUCUGCAGUUUUUGGGUUUGCAUAACUUAUUGCUUUGUACAGGCAUGGCACAAUGGUAGCCCACUGUUGUCCCAUGUGUAAGUCCCACUCACAGCUUCAUGAAAAGGCUUUCAUUGCCACCAAUUGUUACAGAAAGUUGUAGCAGGAAGUGGGUGGUUUUGUUUGAGGCCUUUCUGCUGAUGCAGCCAUAGCAGAGGCUGUCUCAUGUCUCACAUGGUUGAAACUGGCCUUGGGCAAUUAAUUCAUCACAUAUUUUUGAUGGGUGUUACUUUGUUCACAUUGUCCUUUCACUCCUUUUGAGCCUUCAUACAUAUGUAUAAUAUUUACAUCAAUGUACUGAGUUGUAUAUGUAGUUAGACAUGCCUCUUACAAUAUUAACUUGCUUGGGUGACGUGCAUGAUGCUUUGUAUUUAGAUCAAUGAAUUUUUUCCUUGUAUAAUUCUGUUUGAAUGUCUGCAUGGUGAGGGUCAUAAUUUUAUUGACUGGAUGAUUACAAAUUAUUGUAACUAAUUGUAAAGUAUUUAUAUUCAAAUUUAGUGCCUAAAUUUGACAAAAAUGUUGAAACUGCAUGACUUUGAUGUUCAGUAUAAAGAAAAUAUUUAAAUGCAACACUCAACACAGUCAGUACCAUACCAUACCUACAUCCAUACCACUACCACCAUCUGCAUUCUUUAAUAUCCUCACCUCAAGUGCAUUUACAUGAAAUUAUUAAGUGCUACAGCACAGUACCCUAUUUUUUUAUUAGUUCAUAACAAUUAGCUUAAAGCCAAUUGCUCUAAGUGUUAACAUAAAAUUUUGAAGUGAUUAUUUUUUUGUGAUAUGGGUAUAUUAGUGCUUGGAGGUGGGAUACUUUGAGUUUGUGGUGUGUAUGUGUCUUAUUUGGUUAUGAUGUGGCAGACUUCUGAUCACUCUUAGGAUAUGUUCCCAUUUAAUUUUUAUCUGCUUCCGCAUAUCCCCUUUCACUUCUGCUGUAUAAUUUCCUCAAAUACUGCAAUAACCUGUCGUCCCAUUUAUGUGCUUUCUUCCUCUUAACACCUAGCUACCACGUCUUGUGCAAAUGCACCUUCCUAGUCAGUUAACUUAUUCUUUUCAUUUGAUCAUGUCAUCUCUGCGGCCUGUGUGUGACCCCUCGCCCAGCAACACUCUUUCAUUCCCUUUCUUAUAUCACCUUCUGCUCUUCCAUACUUGUGUAGGACUGAACCAAGGUAAUUCAAUCUCCUGUUCUCUUGUCACUUAUCUUAUUUAAAAAGUACAAUUUUACCAAGCAUCUCUGCAGUAGUAUGUAAUAGGCUUACAUUAACAGACUUAUUCAUAUAUCUGUAUUGCACAACUGUUCCUCAUGUACACAUAAAAUAAACAAUAAUGAACUAAGAAUUAUGUUUUUCAACAGUUUCUCGAACGGGAGAAGCAGUUCUCGGAAGGAUGUGAAAAUUCUAAGAAGAACAGGAACGACCUCCUUAAGAUCCUCAUUGAGUUAGCUCCCAAGCCUAAGAAGAAUGCUAAAGUAGCUGCUCUGGAUAUAGUUAGGUCGAUAAUGCAAAGAUUAGCUGAUGAUUCAGUAUGGCAAUAUGUUAGCGCUUUUGGGAAGUCAGGCACAAAAAAGUUGUCAAUGUGCAAAAUGAUGCCUUCAAUUAUGGAUACAGUACUCUUAACAACAAUAAAAACCCUUUCAGUUGAUACUAAAGAGGCAUCAACUGCUCUUUCAACAUAUUUAAAAAAUACUGCUACAAGGGCAGCAGCAAAGAAGCACAAAUUUGAACAUGGAAGAGCCAUACUUCAGAUUGGUAACAGUGUACAUGAGGAAACAUUCCAGUCUGCAAACUCUGUCCAAAGUUCAUGACAACAUGCAGCUGAUGAGGUUAGAGUCUGAUGCAGCACAUGAUUCAGAUUUGGCCUGAAACCAAAUUUGUGGCUAAAAUAAUUUUAUGCAUGUGUUCUUUAUUGAGUGUUAUAUAAGCACUGGUCUCCACUGUCAGUGUCAACUAAGUACAACACAUGCAAAAUAACACAAAACUUUCUUUUUGCUAGCAUCAUAAAUAAUUACAAAUGCCUGAUUCAUAUAAGGUAUAUAGAUAAAAGAGGUACCUUUGCAUAAUGGAUUUCCUUAUGGUAGAAUGUGAUGUAUAUGUGGAGAUAAUAAAACAAGAAGGAAACCAUGUUGUUUUCUUCAAAUGGCAGUAAUUCCUAUGAAGGCAUUUUUUAGAACUCGUGAUUCAUAUUAUUUGAGGUCCAUCCAAUGUUCAUUUAAGGUUCAUUAAAAGGCUUUUUAUGGUUCAUUUUUAGGUGUUUUUAAAGUUCAUAUAAAGAUUUUUGAGGUCCAUUCAAAGUUCAUUUAAGGUUCAUUAAAAGGCUUUUUAUGGUUCAUUUAUAGGCGUUUUAAAGUUCAUUUAAAGUUUUUUUGAGGUUUGUUAAAGGUUCAUUUAAGGUUCAUUCAAAGGCUUUUUAUGGUUCAUUUAUAGGUGUUUUAAAGUUCAUAUAAAGUUUUUUUGAGGCCCUUAAAAGUUCAUUUAAGGUUCAUGAAAAGUCUUUUUACAGCUCAUUUUUGGGUGCUUUUAAAGUUCACAUGAGGUUUGCGCAAACCGAAAAGUGUACACCAAAACGGGUACUUUUCAGGCUUGUUUGAGGUUCAACUGAAGCUCAUGUUGUGAAGUUUGCGCACCUUUUACAAACGUUUGCCAAACAUCCUAUGAACUUUAAAUUU
Molecule: long non-coding RNA, 3662 nt
Organism: Eriocheir sinensis (Chinese mitten crab)
Lineage: Eukaryota; Metazoa; Arthropoda; Malacostraca; Decapoda; Varunidae
Exons: 6
Source: RefSeq, a predicted model, not a curated record